RNAcentral lists this ribosomal RNA (468 nucleotides) under uncultured bacterium. Its description in RNAcentral is "partial 16S ribosomal RNA". It matches the Rfam family "Bacterial small subunit ribosomal RNA", at positions 28 to 507 of the family's 1533-position model. The record is from RNAcentral.
GACGAACGCUGGCGGCGUGCUUAACACAUGCAAGUCGAACGGAAAGGCCCUGCUUUUGUGGGGUGCUCGAGUGGCGAACGGGUGAGUAACACGUGAGUAACCUGCCCUUGACUUUGGGAUAACUUCAGGAAACUGGGGCUAAUACCGGAUAGGAGCUCCUGCUGCAUGGUGGGGGUUGGAAAGUUUCGGCGGUUGGGGAUGGACUCGCGGCUUAUCAGCUUGUUGGUGGGGUAGUGGCUUACCAAGGCUUUGACGGGUAGCCGGCCUGAGAGGGGGACCGGCCACAUUGGGACUGGGCUACGGCCCGGACUCCUACGGGAGGCAGCAGUGGGGAAUAUUGCACAAUGGGCGGAAGCCGGAUGCAGCAACGCCGCGUGCGGGAUGACGGCCUUCGGGUUGUAAACCGCUUUCGCCUGUGACGAAGCGGGAGUGACGGUAAUGGGUAAAGAAGCACCGGCUAACUACGUG